GCAUAGCUCAAUUGGUUAGAGCGUGGUGCUGAUAAUGCCAAGGUUGGAGGUUUGAUCCCCGUAUGGGACA
RNAcentral lists this transfer RNA (70 nucleotides) under Podarcis lilfordi (Lilford's wall lizard). RNAcentral's name for it is "tRNA.Ile". Lineage: Eukaryota; Metazoa; Chordata; Lepidosauria; Squamata; Lacertidae. The record is from RNAcentral.